Molecule: ribosomal RNA, 432 nt
Filed under: uncultured bacterium
Lineage: Bacteria
Description: partial 16S ribosomal RNA
Rfam family: Bacterial small subunit ribosomal RNA
Source: RNAcentral
AUGAACGCUGGCGGCAUGCCUAACACAUGCAAGUCGAACGAAGGCUUCGGCCUUAGUGGCGCACGGGUGCGUAACGCGUGGGAAUCUGCCCCUUGGUUCGGAAUAACAGUUAGAAAUGACUGCUAAUACCGGAUGAUGACGUAAGUCCAAAGAUUUAUCGCCGAGGGAUGAGCCCGCGUAGGAUUAGCUAGUUGGUGUGGUAAGAGCGCACCAAGGCGACGAUCCUUAGCUGGUCUGAGAGGAUGAUCAGCCACACUGGGACUGAGACACGGCUCAGACUCCUACGGGAGGCAGCAGUGGGGAAUAUUGGACAAUGGGCGAAAGCCUGAUCCAGCAAUGCCGCGUGAGUGAUGAAGGCCUUAGGGUUGUAAAGCUCUUUUACCCGGGAUGAUAAUGACAGUACCGGGAGAAUAAGCUCCGGCUAACUCCGUG